GAUGAACGCUGGCGGCGUGCCUAAUACAUGCAAGUCGAGCGAACAGACGAGGAGCUUGCUCCUCUGACGUUAGCGGCGGACGGGUGAGUAACACGUGGAUAACCUACCUAUAAGACUGGGAUAACUUCGGGAAACCGGAGCUAAUACCGGAUAAUAUAUUGAACCGCAUGGUUCAAUAGUGAAAGACGGUUUUGCUGUCACUUAUAGAUGGAUCCGCGCCGCAUUAGCUAGUUGGUAAGGUAACGGCUUACCAAGGCGACGAUGCGUAGCCGACCUGAGAGGGUGAUCGCCCACACUGGAACUGAGACCCGGUCCAGACUCCUACGGGAGGCAGCAGUAGGGAAUCUUCCGCAAUGGGCGAAAGCCUGACGGAGCAACGCCGCGUGAGUGAUGAAGGUCUUCGGAUCGUAAAACUCUGUUAUUAGGGAAGAACAAAUGUGUAAGUAACUAUGCACGUCUUGACGGUACCUAAUCAGAAAGCCACGGCUAACUACGUG
Molecule: ribosomal RNA, 497 nt
Filed under: uncultured bacterium
Lineage: Bacteria
Description: partial 16S ribosomal RNA
Rfam family: Bacterial small subunit ribosomal RNA
Source: RNAcentral